AGUGAACGCUGGCGGUAGGCCUAACACAUGCAAGUCGAACGGCAGCACAGUAAGAGCUUGCUCUUACGGGUGGCGAGUGGCGGACGGGUGAGGAAUACAUCGGAAUCUACUUUUUCGUGGGGGAUAACGUAGGGAAACUUACGCUAAUACCGCAUACGACCUACGGGUGAAAGCAGGGGAUCUUCGGGCCUUGCGCGAUUGAAUGAGCCGAUGUCGGAUUAGCUAGUUGGCGGGGUAAAGGCCCACCAAGGCGACGAUCCGUAGCUGGUCUGAGAGGAUGAUCAGCCACACUGGAACUGAGACACGGUCCAGACUCCUACGGGAGGCAGCAGUGGGGAAUAUUGGACAAUGGGAGCAAGCCUGAUCCAGCCAUACCGCGUGUGUGGAGAAGGCCUUCGGGUUGUAAAGCCCUUUUGUUGGGAAAGAAAAGCAGCAGGUUAAUACCCCGCUGUUCUGACGGUACCCAAAGAAUAAGCACCGGCUAACUUCGUG
Molecule: ribosomal RNA, 492 nt
Filed under: uncultured bacterium
Lineage: Bacteria
Description: partial 16S ribosomal RNA
Rfam family: Bacterial small subunit ribosomal RNA
Source: RNAcentral